This 83-nucleotide transfer RNA is filed under the name Cubamyces sp. BRFM 1775. Its description in RNAcentral is "Leiotrametes sp. BRFM 1775 tRNA-Asp". It matches the Rfam family "tRNA". Rfam says of the family: Transfer RNA (tRNA) molecules are approximately 80 nucleotides in length. Their secondary structure includes four short double-helical elements and three loops (D, anti-codon, and T loops). Lineage: Eukaryota; Fungi; Basidiomycota; Agaricomycetes; Polyporales; Polyporaceae. The record is from RNAcentral.
UCUCUGUUAGUAUAUCGGUUAGUACACGCGCCUGUCAUUCGCAUUGACCGCGCGAAAGCGGGGUUCGACUCCCCGACAGAGAG